Molecule: microRNA precursor, 135 nt
Filed under: Hordeum vulgare
Lineage: Eukaryota; Viridiplantae; Streptophyta; Magnoliopsida; Poales; Poaceae
Description: microRNA MIR1122
Rfam family: MIR1120/MIR1122 microRNA precursor family
Source: RNAcentral
UAAUUACUCCAUCCGUCUCAUAAUUCUUGUUUUAGAUUUGUCUAGAUAUAAGUGUAUCUAGUCACGUUUUGGUAUUUAGAUACAUCACUUCUAGACAAACCUAAGAUAAGAAUUUUAAAAUGAAGGGAGUAUAAG